CUACGGGAGGCUGCAGUGGGGAAUAUUGCACAAUGGGCGAAAGCCUGAUGCAGCAACGCCGCGUGAGCGAUGAAGGCCUUCGGGUCGUAAAGCUCUGUCCUCAAGGAAGAAACAUGACGGUACUUGAGGAGGAAGCCCCGGCUAACUACGUGCCAGCAGCCGCGGUAAUACGUAGGGGGCAAGCGUUAUCCGGAAUCACUGGGCGUAAAGGGUGCGUAGGCGGUUUUACAAGUCAGGUGUGAAAGGCUAUGGCUCAACCAUAGUAAGCACUUGAAACUGUAUAACUUGAGUGCAGGAGAGGAAAGUGGAAUUCCUAGUGUAGCGGUGAAAUGCGUAGAUAUUAGGAGGAACACCAGUGGCGAAGGCGACUUUCUGGACUGUAACUGACGCUGAGGCACGAAAGCGUGGGGAGCGAACAGGAUUAGAUACCCUGGUAGUC
RNAcentral lists this ribosomal RNA (439 nucleotides) under uncultured bacterium. RNAcentral's name for it is "partial 16S ribosomal RNA". It matches the Rfam family "Bacterial small subunit ribosomal RNA", at positions 339 to 795 of the family's 1533-position model. The record is from RNAcentral.